RNAcentral lists this ribosomal RNA (1971 nucleotides) under Triticum aestivum (bread wheat). RNAcentral describes it as "partial small subunit ribosomal RNA". The record is from RNAcentral. Lineage: Eukaryota; Viridiplantae; Streptophyta; Magnoliopsida; Poales; Poaceae.
AUGGCCGCCGUCAUGGAUUUGGAUCUCAACUGCGCGCCGCCGUCGCCGGAGCCCGCGCCCCAGGACCACCGCCUCGCCCACGCAAUGCUCCGCCAAGAACACGCCUACCGCCACCAGGUGGAGGACCUGCAUAGGCUGUAUUGGGCGCAGAGGAAUCUCAGGCCUGAUGCGCCCUUCUGGGAGCAAUCCCACGAUGUCCUCUAUCCUGUUCCCACCCAUUCCAUGGCCAUGGCCACUUCCUCCCAAUCCCACAUCCACAUGAUUGAUCCGGAUCUGUCAGGAGGCAAGCAGGCCAUUUGGUGUGGCAAUGGGGUUGCAGGGAAUUUGGGCGCUGAGGGUUCUUCUGUCAGGAGGAAACCUGACCAUGGUGGUGGUGUGCAGGGGAGGUCCGGUUACCGCCGUAUGAUCGAUCUAGAGAAGCCGGCGACGUCCGAGGACGACGAUGAUGAUGUGGAGAUCUUGUCUCCUGCCCGGUUCAGUGACUAUGCCAAGCGCAAUGCUGGGUUUGUGGAUAAUUCUCAGUGUUAUCCAAGGGAGAAUGCUGCCCAUGUUCGUUUCGGUUCAACUGGAUCUAGUGAUACCCCAGACAGUCAUUCACCAGUGAAAGCAAAGGCUACUGCAUCUGGACGCAUGCUUAUCGACCUGAAUAUAGCUCAAGAAGAUGAUUUAAAUGUUUGCCCUGAUUCUUCCAAAAACGUGUUCUGUUCUCCUUUGGCUAGUUCAAGAACAAUGCAAUCAGGAGAAGGUUGCAGCAACUCCAGCAAAGCAUUCCACAUCAGAGCUGAGUCGAGCAUUGGAUCUUCAAAAGGGUCUUCGAUCACAGUUGCGGCAUCAAUGCCGGCCCCAGACAGCAUGAGGGAAGUGAUGGCCAGAGGUAUUUGUGACCCACAGAGCAGUUCUAAGCCUUUCCGCGUGGAAGCUUCAAAUCAUGACGUGCGUCUCAGAGGAAAUAUCCAGCAUCAACAUACACUAGAUAAUGUCUCUGGAAUGAGUUCUCAGGCCUCUAUGGAAAUUCCACGUGAAGAGAUGUCAGUUAGGGCGAGCGGUCGACAUUCUUCUUCUUCUUCAGACUUACAAAAAAUAGGAGGACAAACAGCUGUUUAUAGGGAGUGCCAAGAGGAGAGUCUAGCAGUAAUCUGUGAUGAUGAAAUGGAGGGUUUUGACUUGAAUGUGUCUGUUGGAAGCAUCGAGCUCCCAUCGAUGAUGGAUAGCAGUCCCAGAGAGAAACAUGCAAGUAGUAGUGAUGGUGUUGACAAACUUCUAAGUCAUUACUUUACUGAGGAUAAGGUCCAGGAAAACAUUUCUUCCGUCGAAUGUCCAACUAUCAUAGACCAACAACACAUGGCUGAGAGUAUGGACGGUAAAAGUGUACGGUCGCCAGACUCCGGAGUUGCAACAAACAGAUCGAUGUCGAUUCCAGAAACUCCUCAAGGUCGUGACUACGCUUGUCCAAGAUUGAGACCAUCAAGUAACGGAGAAUCAAAUUCUAUGAACGCGCCCAUCACAUAUCAAGUUGUGACAGAAGAUGAGCUACUAGCGUCCACAGCAGCUCAGACACUCGUUUCCUUGUUCACGGAUAGCGCUGCGUGGAUCACAGACAGCCAUUGCAGCAACAACCAGGCAGAUGCUCAGGAUGGAGGCGAUGAACCGCAGGUCUCGCUGGACUCGUUCGAGGAAGGCGUGAUGAACCUGGAGGCUCUGAGAGACGAUGGGGAUUCAGUCGCUGUGAGAGCGCCGGACAAGGACGGGCCUUCGUGUGGGAUCAAGCUGCGGAGAGGGAGGGGGAUGAGAGACUUCCAGAGGGAGAUAUUGCCCGGGCUGGUCUCCCUCGCGAGGCACGAGAUAUGCGACGACUUGCAUGCUAUAGGGUAUGAAAUCAGGAAGACCAGGCAGAGGAGGGCGCCCGGGGACAAGUACGGUCCGUCGACCCGGUCAAGGCUGCCUCGGCGUUGCUCCAAUGCAUGGAACUAG